This 445-nucleotide ribosomal RNA is filed under the name uncultured bacterium. Its description in RNAcentral is "bacterial SSU rRNA". It matches the Rfam family "Bacterial small subunit ribosomal RNA", at positions 331 to 793 of the family's 1533-position model. The record is from RNAcentral.
CCAGACUCCUACGGGAGGCAGCAGUAGGGAAUUUUGCGCAGUGGGGGAAACCCUGACGCAGCAACGCCGCGUGAUUGAUGAAGCCCUUCGGGGUGUAAAGAUCUGUCAGUGGGGACGAAACUUGACGGUACCCACAGAGGAAGCAUCGGCUAACUCCGUGCCAGCAGCCGCGGUAAUACGGAGGAUGCGAGCGUUAUCCGGAUUUAUUGGGUUUAAAGGGUGCGCAGGCGGAAUGUCAAGUCAGCGGUAAAAUUUCGGGGCUCAACCCCGUCGUGCCGUUGAAACUGGCUGUCUUGAGAUGUCGAGAGGUAUGCGGAAUGCGCAGUGUAGCGGUGAAAUGCUUAGAUAUUGCGCAGAACUCCGAUUGCGAAGGCAGCAUACCGGCGGCGAUCUGACGCUGAGGCACGAAAGCGUGGGUAUCGAACAGGAUUAGAUACCCGAGUAA